RNAcentral lists this microRNA (23 nucleotides) under Salmo salar (Atlantic salmon). RNAcentral's name for it is "ssa-miR-430b-3p". Its record names the gene ssa-miR-430b-3p. Lineage: Eukaryota; Metazoa; Chordata; Actinopteri; Salmoniformes; Salmonidae. The record is from miRBase by way of RNAcentral.
AAAGUGCUAUUAAGUUGGAGUAU